AUUGAACGCUGGCGGCAUGCUUUACACAUGCAAGUCGAACGGCAGCGCGGGCUUCGGCCUGGCGGCGAGUGGCGAACGGGUGAGUAAUGCAUCGGAACGUGCCCAGCAGUGGGGGAUAGCCCGGCGAAAGCCGGAUUAAUACCGCAUACGACCUGAGGGUGAAAGCGGGUGACCGAAAGGCCUCGCGCUAUUGGAGCGGCCGAUGUCGGAUUAGCUAGUUGGUGGGGUAAAGGCUUACCAAGGCGACGAUCCGUAGCUGGUCUGAGAGGGGGACCAGCCACACUGGGACUGAGACACGGCCCAGACUCCUACGGGAGGCAGCAGUGGGGAAUUUUGGACAAUGGGGGCAACCCUGAUCCAGCCAUGCCGCGUGCGGGAAGAAGGCCUUCGGGUUGUAAACCGCUUUUGUUCGGGAAGAAAUCCUCUGGGCUAAUACCCCGGGGGGAUGACGGUACCGGAAGAAUAAGCACCGGCUAACUACGUG
This 484-nucleotide ribosomal RNA is filed under the name uncultured bacterium. RNAcentral describes it as "partial 16S ribosomal RNA". It matches the Rfam family "Bacterial small subunit ribosomal RNA", at positions 28 to 507 of the family's 1533-position model. The record is from RNAcentral.